Molecule: long non-coding RNA, 544 nt
Organism: Aplysia californica (California sea hare)
Lineage: Eukaryota; Metazoa; Mollusca; Gastropoda; Aplysiida; Aplysiidae
Exons: 2
Source: RefSeq, a predicted model, not a curated record
AGUGUAGGCCUCGGCUAGGUAGGUGUGUAGGCCUGGCUAGCGGACUCAAGUUUCUCUCACCUGUGGCGUUUGUUUACCGUUUGCAAGGGAGACUGAAGAGACGAGUGAACAAAGCUUGCCUGGGCUAAGAAUUCCUUCUUCGCUUGACUACGUAUAUUGAGCAACUGAGCAAAUCAUGUCAUGAAAGGUACCCUCAAGAAGAGCUAAAGUUUGCCUCACCAUCUGCACUUCAUUCGGUGGUAGCUUGGAGCCCCUUCCCCAAAGGAACCAAUGACCAGUCUAUGGUGAUGGGACUACAUUGAAAUGGGAAAUCAAGUGUGCAUUCUUCAAAGUGAUAUUACACCGACAGUGACUACAAAUGACCUGGGUACACCUCAAGACAGGAAAGGAUGAAACACUCUGAUAGUCGGAGGACUUCGUCACAAAUUUAAAAGCCCAUUCAUCGGCCCAUCUAACCGAAUAGUCUGGAACUCAACUCUUUUGUAUUACUCCUGUCAGUUAUUCGAGCAGCUUCAUGUAAUUAAAUUACUUACAACAACCAAAC